This is a small nuclear RNA of Camelus dromedarius (Arabian camel), 102 nucleotides long. Lineage: Eukaryota; Metazoa; Chordata; Mammalia; Artiodactyla; Camelidae. The record is from Ensembl.
GUGCUCAUUUUGGCAGCACAUCUAUUAAAACUGGAACAAUACAGAGAAAAAUAGCAUGGCCCCCCGACUGACAGGCAAAUUUGUGAAGUGGUCCAUAUUUUU